GAUGAACGCUAGCGGCAGGCUUAACACAUGCAAGUCGAGGGGUAGGGCAGCAAUGCUUGAGACCGGCGCACGGGUGCGUAACGCGUAUGCAAUCUACCUUUUGCAGAGGGAUAGCCCAGAGAAAUUUGGAUUAAUACCUCAUAGUAUAAUGAAUUCGCAUGGAUUUAUUAUUAAAGUAACAACGGCAAAAGAUGAGCAUGCGUCCCAUUAGCUAGAUGGUAAGGUAACGGCUUACCAUGGCGACGAUGGGUAGGGGUCCUGAGAGGGAGAUCCCCCACACUGGUACUGAGACACGGACCAGACUCCUACGGGAGGCAGCAGUGAGGAAUAUUGGACAAUGGGCGCAAGCCUGAUCCAGCCAUGCCGCGUGCAGGAUGACGGUCCUAUGGAUUGUAAACUGCUUUUGUACAGGAAGAAACCCUCGGACGUGUCCGAGAUUGACGGUACUGUAAGAAUAAGGAUCGGCUAACUCCGUGCCAGCAGCCGCGGUAAUACGGAGGAUCCAAGCGUUAUCCGGAAUCAUUGGGUUUAAAGGGUCCGUAGGCGGUUUAGUAAGUCAGUGGUGAAAGCCCAUCGCUCAACGGUGGAACGGCCAUUGAUACUGCUAGACUUGAAUUAUAAGGAAGUAACUAGAAUAUGUAGUGUAGCGGUGAAAUGCUUAGAUAUUACAUGGAAUACCAAUUGCGAAGGCAGGUUACUACUUAUGGAUUGACGCUGAUGGACGAAAGCGUGGGUAGCGAACAGGAUUAGAUACCCUGGUAGUCCACGCCGUAAACGAUGGAUACUAGCUGUUGGGAGUAAUCUCAGUGGCUAAGCGAAAGUGAUAAGUAUCCCACCUGGGGAGUACGUUCGCAAGAAUG
This 860-nucleotide ribosomal RNA is filed under the name uncultured bacterium. RNAcentral's name for it is "bacterial SSU rRNA". It matches the Rfam family "Bacterial small subunit ribosomal RNA", at positions 28 to 896 of the family's 1533-position model. The record is from RNAcentral.